GAACUCGGGGAAUGAGAGUUGCCAUAAGUUGGGUUGUGAAUUGUUAAGCGAACGAGGAGCAGGUAUUGGGUGGCUGAUUUCUGGACCAUAGCAUGUCUGAAUGGCGGUGGUACGGCCGCUCAUUGAUGGAGUAAAAGGCUGGCUGGAGUUUGCUUCUUUAGCUCAAGCAAAUUAUCCAUCUUUCAAAAGGACCGAGAGGCUGGCCUCACAUGGUUCAUCCCCUAAUCUCCCAGCCCGUCGGACCCCUCCUGAUCUGGGCCGAGACAGCUCACGCCGAUGCCCGGGGAAGUUCUCCUUUGUUCUUUUCUCUUUUCUUUUUU
Molecule: long non-coding RNA, 320 nt
Organism: Salvia splendens (bonfire salvia)
Lineage: Eukaryota; Viridiplantae; Streptophyta; Magnoliopsida; Lamiales; Lamiaceae
Exons: 3
Source: RefSeq, a predicted model, not a curated record